CCUACGGUGGGCAGCAGUAGGGAAUCUUUCACAAUGGGCGAAAGCCUGAUGGAGCAACGCCGCGUGCAGGAUGAAGGCCUUCGGGUUGUAAACUGCUUUAGGCGGGGAGCAAUGCCGGGCACGCGUGCCCGGAGGGAGAGUACCCGCAGAAUAAGCAUCGGCUAACUCCGUGCCAGCAGCCGCGGUAAUACGGAGGAUGCGAGCGUUAUCCGGAUUUAUUGGGUUUAAAGGGUGCGUAGGGGGGUUUUUAAGUCAGUGGUAAAAUGUUCGGGCUCAACCCUGGCCGGCCGUUGAAACUGGGGGUCUUGAGUGGGCGAGAAGUAGGCGGAAUGCGUGGUGUAGCGGUGAAAUGCAUAGAUAUCACGCAGAACUCCGAUUGCGAAGGCAGCAUACCGGCGCCCGACUGACGCUGAGGCACGAAAGCGUGGGGAUCGAACAGGAUUAGAUACCCCUGUAGUC
RNAcentral lists this ribosomal RNA (459 nucleotides) under uncultured bacterium. RNAcentral describes it as "partial 16S ribosomal RNA". It matches the Rfam family "Bacterial small subunit ribosomal RNA", at positions 338 to 795 of the family's 1533-position model. The record is from RNAcentral.